UAUAAAUACCGGAAGAUUAGGCUCUUUAGUUGAUGAAUGGCGCUGAAAACUAUGAUGCA
RNAcentral lists this ribosomal RNA (59 nucleotides) under Condylostoma magnum. RNAcentral describes it as "partial 5.8S ribosomal RNA". Lineage: Eukaryota; Ciliophora; Heterotrichea; Heterotrichida; Condylostomatidae. The record is from RNAcentral.